UUCAGAACUCCGCGUGAAGUUCUCCUACCAGCUACUCGGGAGGCUGAGACAGGAGGAUCGCUUGAGUCCGGGAGUUCUGGGCUGUAGUGCGCUACGCCAAUCAGGUGUCAGCACUAAGUCCGGCAUUGAUAUGGUGACCUCCCGGGAGCGGCGGGGGCUUGGGGGGGGGGGCACCAGGUUCCUAAGGAGGGGUGAACCAGCCCAGGUCAGAAACAGAGCAGGUCAAAACUCCCGUGCUGAUCAGUAGCGGGGUCGCACCUGUGAAUAGCCACUGCAGAUGAUGGUGGUGAUGGCGUCGGU
This 300-nucleotide signal recognition particle RNA is filed under the name Mesocricetus auratus (golden hamster). RNAcentral describes it as "Metazoan signal recognition particle RNA (ENSMAUG00000002273.1)". The stretch from base 82 to 277 matches the Rfam family "Metazoan signal recognition particle RNA", at positions 82 to 264 of the family's 299-position model. Rfam says of the family: The signal recognition particle (SRP) is a universally conserved ribonucleoprotein. The record is from RNAcentral. Lineage: Eukaryota; Metazoa; Chordata; Mammalia; Rodentia; Cricetidae.